Molecule: long non-coding RNA, 3287 nt
Filed under: Citrus x clementina
Lineage: Eukaryota; Viridiplantae; Streptophyta; Magnoliopsida; Sapindales; Rutaceae
Description: Citrus clementina (C. clementina) long non-coding RNA (CCLE_LNC000671)
Source: RNAcentral
GGGCGGCCUCCGUGUGCCAAAAAUAGGCCACGGGCACAGCCGCGCCCAAAAAUCAGCCCCCGAAGGUCGGGGUCACAAGACCCCCCAGCGGAAAAAAGGCCAAGAAACGCGUGGGCUAUAGCCUUGGUGGGGGGCGUGGGUGAAGUUCGUCCGCGGGACUCGGAAUGGCACCAUACUUGGCGGGCGGCCUCCGUGUGCCAAAAAUAGGCCACGGGCACAGCCGCGCCCAAAAAUCAGCCCCCGAAGGUCGGGGUCCCAAGACCCCCCAGCGGAAAAAUGGCCAAAAAACGGGUGGGCUAUAGCCUUGGUGGGGGGCGUGGGCGAAGUUCGUCCGCGGGACUCGGAAUGGCCCCAGACUUGGCGGGCGGCCUCCGUGUGCCAAAAAUAGGCCACGGGCACAGCCGCGGCCAAAAAUCAGCCCCCGAAGGUCGGGGUCCCAAGACCCCCCAGCGGAAAAAUGGCCAAGAAACGCGUGGGCUAUAGCCUUGGUGGGGGGCGUGGGCGAAGUUCGUCCGCGGGACUCGGAAUGGCCCCAGACUUGGCGGGCGGCCUCCGUGUGCCAAAAAUAGGCCACGGGCACAGCCGCGCCCAAAAAUCAGCCCCCGAAGGUCGGGGUCCCAAGACCCCCCAGCGGAAAAAUGGCCAAGAAACGGGUGGGCUAUAGCCUUGGUGGGGGGCGUGGGCGAAGUUCGUCCGCGGGACUCGGAAUGGCCCCAGACUUGGCGGGCGGCCUCCGUGUGCCAAAAAUAGGCCACGGGCACAGCCGCGCCCAAAAAUCAGCCCCCGAAGGUCGGGGUCACAAGACCCCCCAGCGGAAAAAAGGCUAAGAAACGCGUGGGCUAUAGCCUUGGUGGGGGGCGUGGGCGAAGUUCGUCCGCGGGACUCGGAAUGGCACCAUACUUGGCGGGCGGCCUCCGUGUGCCAAAAAUAGGCCACGGGCACAGCCGCGCCCAAAAAUCAGCCCCCGAAGGUCGGGGUCCCAAGACCCCCCAGCGGAAAAAUGGCCAAAAAACGGGUGGGCUAUAGCCUUGGUGGGGGGCGUGGGCGAAGUUCGUCCGCGUGACUCGGAAUGGCCCCAGACUUGGCGGGCGGCCUCCGUGUGCCAAAAAUAGGCCACGGGCACAGCCGCGCCCAAAAAUCAGCCCCCGAAGGUCGGGGUCCCAAGACCCCCCAGCGGAAAAAUGGCCAAGAAACGCGUGGGCUAUAGCCUUGGUGGGGGGCGUGGGCGAAGUUCGUCCGCGGGACUCGGAAUGGCCCCAGACUUGGCGGGCGGCCUCCGUGUGCCAAAAAUAGGCCACGGGCACAGCCGCGCCCAAAAAUCAGCCCCCGAAGGUCGGGGUCACAAGACCCCCCAGCGGAAAAAAGGCCAAGAAACGCGUGGGCUAUAGCCUUGGUGGGGGGCGUGGGUGAAGUUCGUCCGCGGGACUCGGAAUGGCACCAUACUUGGCGGGCGGCCUCCGUGUGCCAAAAAUAGGCCACGGGCACAGCCGCGCCCAAAAAUCAGCCCCCGAAGGUCGGGGUCCCAAGCCCCCCCAGCGGAAAAAUGGCCAAGAAACGCGUGGGCUAUAGCCUUGGUGGGGGGCGUGGGCGAAGUUCGUCCGCGGGACUCGGAAUGGCCCCAGACUUGGCGGGCGGCCUCCGUGUGCCAAAAAUAGGCCACGGGCACAGCCGGGCCCAAAAAUCAGCCCCCGAAGGUCGGGGUCACAAGGACCCCCCAGCGGAAAAAAGGCCAAGAAACGGGUGGGCUAUAGCCUUGGUGGGGGGCGUGGGCGAAGUUCGUCCGCGGGACUCGGAAUGGCACCAUACUUGGCGGGCGGCCUCCGUGUGCCAAAAAUAGGCCACGGGCACAGCCGCGCCCAAAAAUCAGCCCCCGAAGUUCGGGGUCCCAAGACCCCCCAGCGGAAAAAUGGCCAAAAAACGGGUGGGCUAUAGCCUUGGUGGGGGGCGUGGGCGAAGUUCGUCCGCGGGACUCGAAAUGGCCCCAGACUUGGCGGGCGGCCUCCGUGUGCCAAAAAUAGGCCACGGGCACAGCCGCGCCCAAAAAUCAGCCCCCGAAGGUCGGGGUCCCAAGACCCCCCAGCGGAAAAAUGGCCAAGAAACGCGUGGGCUAUAGCCUUGGUGGGGGGCGUGGGCGAAGUUCGUCCGCGGGACUCGGAAUAGCCCCAGACUUGGCGGGCGGCCUCCGUGUGCCAAAAAUUGGCCACGGGCACAGCCGCGCCCAAAAAUCAGCCCCCGAAGGUCGGGGUCCCAAGACCCCCCAGCGGAAAAAUGGCCAAGAAACGGGUGGGCUAUAGCCUUGGUGGGGGGCGUGGGCGAAGUUCGUCCGCGGGACUCGGAAUGGCCCCAGACUUGGCGGGCGGCCUCCGUGUGCCAAAAAUAGGCCACGGGCACAGCCGCACCCAAAAAUCAGCCCCCGAAGGUCGGGGUCCCAAGACCCCCCAGCGGAAAAAUGGCCAAGAAACGCAUGGGCUAUAGCCUUGGUGGGGGGCGUGGGCGAAGUUCGUCCGCGGGACUCGGAAUGGCCCCAGACUUGGCGGGCGGCCUCCGUGUGCCAAAAAUAGGCCACGGGCACAGCCGCGCCCAAAAAUCAGCCCCCGAAGGUCGGGGUCCCAAGACCCCCCAGCGGAAAAAUGGCCAAGAAACGCGUGGGCUAUAGCCUUGGUGGGGGGCGUGGGCGAAGUUCGUCCGCGGGACUCGGAAUGGCCCCAGACUUGGCGGGCGGCCUCCGUGUGCCAAAAAUAGGCCACGGGCACAGCCGCGCCCAAAAAUCAGCCCCCGAAGGUCGGGGUCCCAAGACCCCCCUGCGGAAAAAUGGCCAAGAAACGCGUGGGCUAUAGCCUUGGUGGGGGGCGUGGGCGAAGUUCGUCCGCGGGACUCGGAAUGGCCCCAGACUUGGCGGGCGGCCUCCGUGUGCCAAAAAUAGGCCACGGGCACAGCCGCGCCCAAAAAUCAGCCCCCGAAGGUCGGGGUCCCAAGACCCCCCAGCGGAAAAAUGGCCAAGAAACGCGUGGGCUAUAGCCUUGGUGGGGGGCGUGGGCGAAGUUCGUCCGCGGGACUCGGAAUGGCCCCAGACUUGGCGGGCGGCCUCCGUGUGCCAAAAAUAGGCCACGGGCACAGCCGCGCCCAAAAAUCAGCCCCCGAAGGUCGGGGUCCCAAGACCCCCCAGCGGAAAAAUGGGCCAAGAAACGGGUGGGCUAUAGCCUUUGGUAGGGGGCGUGGGCGAAGUUCGUCCGCGGGGACUCGGGAAAUGGCCCCCAGACUUGGCGGGCGGCCUCCGUGUGCCCAAA